This 101-nucleotide ribosomal RNA is filed under the name Percus grandicollis. RNAcentral describes it as "partial 16S ribosomal RNA". Lineage: Eukaryota; Metazoa; Arthropoda; Insecta; Coleoptera; Carabidae. The record is from RNAcentral.
UGUAAGCCAGGUCGGUUUCUAUCUUUAUUAAAUUAAAAUAUUUUAGUACGAAAGGACCAAAUAUUUAAUAUAGUACAUAUUUUGAAUUUUUGAAUAUUAUU